Long non-coding RNA from Chinchilla lanigera (long-tailed chinchilla), 463 nucleotides. RefSeq lists it as uncharacterized. The record is from RefSeq and is a predicted model, not a curated record. The transcript is spliced from 3 exons. Lineage: Eukaryota; Metazoa; Chordata; Mammalia; Rodentia; Chinchillidae.
UACACCAGCGAAGGCUUUCCCGGGGUGAGAGCCCUGCUCACCGCGCACCUGUGUCCCCGGGCCGGCCGCCAGUGCCUCGCCUGUCACCCCCAUUGCAGCAGAUGCCGCCGAUAGCAGCUUGCCGCUGGGCUCGGGCUGUCCGUGGGAACGGGGCACAGCUUGGCAGGGCUACAGGAGACUUCGGAGGGACGGGCAGGAGCUCUCCGGAGACGCCAGGCGGUGGAAGAGCAUGUUUCUCAAGAGCUGGGGCCAGAAGCCAGGGCCUGGUGCCUGCUAGGCAAGGGUGCUACGGCUUCUCCUCAAGAGAUGAAGUUGAUAAAUAUAUUUAUAUAAAAGGUUUUGGAAAAGGACCCAUGGAGUAUUAGUUGAGUCUGUAUUAAAUUCUGCCUGGGGCUGGAGCUGGGAUAGAUCAAGCAUUCUGGUUUUUUGUUUUAUUUUUUUGCUUCCAGUACCGGGAAUUGAA